AGGAGCAUAGCGAGCCAACUUGUUUCGGCAUAUUCUACCUAAUUUCUUAGCGUCUCGCCAUUGCCAUUUUCCCUCUUCCUCCUUUCUCCCUUCUCUCUUUUCCUUCCCUUCAUACUUCGGCUUUACUACUUCGCUGCUUUGCAUAAUCCCUUUUUAGGUCGCAACGUAUCGCAGGCUCCUUCGGGCGGGCCAAGAAAAACUGAUGAUAUUAUUAACGACAAUGGAAAUUAACGAGGAGCGAAUGCGACGAUCAGAGAGAAAGUGUAAGAGAGAGAGAGAGAGAUGCAUAUGUAUAUGUAUAUAUAUAUAUAUAAAGAGAAAGAGAGAGAGGGCAGUGGAGAGGACAAAAAGGAAGCAUGUGCGCUUGAAUAUUAUUUCAUUGAUCUCACGAGCACGUUUUAUGAGCCGAUACGAAGAAACUUUUCCGCAGAGUAAAACAUCGUGCGCGUGGGCUGACCCUGUCUGAACUUUAGCGAAAAGUAAAAGGUGACUUUUCCGAGUUUUCUCGAACUGUCGACCGGAAUGAAAAGUAAAAAGAACAACAAUCGAUGGAUCGUAAUGAGUGCCCCUUACUCGUUAAAAUUGUUAGGGAGAUGUUUAGAUAGAUUUUGAUCAAAUUGAAGAGGAUAAAAUGCACUUUCUGAGUUAAAGAAAUAUAACUUUUCGAUAGUUUAUUUAAAACGUAAACAAAGGUAAUUAUAUGAGACUUUAGUUUAAAUGGUCCCACUUAAAAGGAAACAUUAUAACGAGACGCAUACCGACGAUAACAAAGUUGUACCAGCUAAAGUGGAUACAAUUAAAACACCGGUUAAAAUAAAUUAGCAUUACUUUCACUUUAUAUACAUAUAUUUGUUUAUGUAAUUUAUUUCCCAAUAAAUUAUAAAUGGUAAAUUACACUACUCGGAAACAUGAGCUUUCUCUGGUCAAAUCGAAAUAUCAAAAGCACUUAUUCCAACUACUGUAAUCAACGAUAACUUGGAAAAUACCAUUCUCACGUUGAAUAUGAUUUGAAGUAUCAUUAUUUUUGAGUUAAAUGGUGGUUAAUGGUUUGAUCGAAGGAAGGAAAAAAAUCGUUCGCAUGUACGUACGUCACGAUUACUUUAAUACGAGACUUCUCGUCGAGAAAAGAAAAGAGAAAAUUUGGCGCGUUUGAAGGGUUAAAAAUGAAAUGGAAGAAAAAAAAAAAGAAAGAAGAGAAAAAGAAAAAAGGAAAAAAGAGAACAAAUAAGAAAAGGCGCGGAGAUGGAAGGAAAAAAAGAAAAAUAAAAAGUAGAAAAAAAGAAGAGAAGAGGAAAAAGGUAAAAGUCGCGAAAGGUAUGCACGCACUCUUGCGCGGUACAAUGGAUUCAUCUUGCACCGUCAACCUUUCACUUUUGUUCUUCCCUUUUUCUUGCUUGUCGAAAUGCGCCGGCUUCUAACGCGAAUAUAGCGAUAUGCCGGAGCUAAAGGUUGAAGGGAGGGACUGAACGAGAGAGGGUAAAAGAGAAAGAGAGUGGAAUGUGAAGCCGGGUGCAUGGUGCACCGCAUCGUAGUUUUGUUUUGUUUGUGAACCUAGUGAA
Long non-coding RNA from Vespa velutina, 1559 nucleotides. RefSeq lists it as uncharacterized. The record is from RefSeq and is a predicted model, not a curated record. The transcript is spliced from 2 exons. NCBI's taxonomy places the organism in Eukaryota, Metazoa, Arthropoda, Insecta, Hymenoptera, Vespidae.